AAUAUGUUAUGGAAAUGUGAGUUUAUAUAUGCUUUUUAUUAUGUAUUUAAUUUAGUCAUAAAACACUUAUAUAUCAACUAUGUUGAAUGUAUAUAUGAAGGGCAUUAAGAUUAUUUAAUUCGAACAAUGGAAGGAAAGGAAGAAAGCAUGUACAAUGGGAAGUAAUCAAGGCUCCUAGGCAGCCAGAUGUGAAACAAUGUGGUUAUUACGUGAUGAAAUUUAUGAGACAAAUUACUGAAGAAAUUGCAAUGAUCGAGGGGGAUACACUACCAUCAAUAUUCACAAAAGCGGAAUACUCUCAAGAAGAAAUUGAUGAAGUGCACUCU
Molecule: long non-coding RNA, 326 nt
Organism: Zingiber officinale
Lineage: Eukaryota; Viridiplantae; Streptophyta; Magnoliopsida; Zingiberales; Zingiberaceae
Exons: 3
Source: RefSeq, a predicted model, not a curated record